UACGUAGGGUGCGAGCGUUAAUCGGAAUUACUGGGCGUAAAGCGUGCGCAGGCGGUUCGUUGUGUCGGUGGUGAAAGCCCCGGGCUUAACCUGGGAAUGGCCAUGGAAACUGGCGAACUGGAGUGUGGCAGAGGGGGUGGAAUUCCGCGUGUAGCAGUGAAAUGCGUAGAGAUGCGGAGGAACACCGAUGGCGAAGGCAGCCCCCUGGGCUAGCACUGACGCUCAGGCACGAAAGCGUGGGGAGCAAACGGG
This 252-nucleotide ribosomal RNA is filed under the name uncultured bacterium. Its description in RNAcentral is "partial 16S ribosomal RNA". It matches the Rfam family "Bacterial small subunit ribosomal RNA", at positions 524 to 776 of the family's 1533-position model. The record is from RNAcentral.